RNAcentral lists this long non-coding RNA (3161 nucleotides) under Homo sapiens (human). RNAcentral's name for it is "HSALNT0187102". The record is from RNAcentral. Lineage: Eukaryota; Metazoa; Chordata; Mammalia; Primates; Hominidae.
GAGAAGGUCUUUAGGAAAUGGGGGUCUCUGAGAACCGGUUCUUAAAGGUCAAGCACUUGAGCACCUCGCAAACUCCUGACAAUUGAAACAUAUCUGAAGAGUCUUCUUCAGAUAUGUCUCUGUGUGUGUGUGUGUGUGUGUGUGUGUGUGUGUGUGAGAGAGAGAGAGAGAGAGAGAGAGAGAGAAUAUGAAUGUGCAGUGUCCCAGUCCUGAUCUCCUGGACUGGUGCCAGCCAGCCAGAUGCCUGCCCUUGGCUGGCCAAGUUUUUGGCUCCUGAAAGUAGGCAGCUCUGGACUUGUACGAGGCCACAGAGAGAGUUCCAAGCCCCACCUGGCUCAGGCGACAACCUCUCAACCUGAAGUCAAUCUCCGGUGGCAUCACAGGGCCCUCCUGGCAGCAGCCCAGUUCCCCACAUGAACCGAAUGGUCCUUUCUUAAAUUUUGAGCCGGGGGCUGCCUAAAAGGGGCUGCCCCCGCAAGCAUUUUACCUCCCUAACACCAUUCUCUGCCCGUGCCACGCUGGCCUCGAAGUCCCUUCCCAGGGCAGCACCCGGACUGAGAUGUCUAAACUCUCCGGCAGGAAGGAUACCUAUCCAGACACCCGCACUGGAUGUCCUGUCUGUUUGGCUUUGAGCUGGUCAUUACGGUGUCUUUGGAUCCUGCCUAACUUUUCUGUAAUUUUUAUCAGAAAUAAGGCUUCAGGAGAGCAAACGUUGAGUUAUGCGCUCCUUCUCUGGAGUCUCCUGCCCUGGUGUUUGCGCUCCCACUGCAGCAAGGGAGGCCUGAGUCUCUUAGGGCAGGGGUCCAGGGUCUUGGGAGAGGCCUUAGGGCAAGGGGGAUGAUCUUUUUCAGCCUCCCCUCCCCUCCUCCCACCCAGCGUCCUCAUCCCCACCGCCUGCGAUAGACUUGGGUCGCCCAUUAGGAAGCUGAUCCGCAGGGACGGGGCAGGCUUGGCUCCUGGGGAUCUUAGGCUCCAUGGGAACUUCGGGGGUCUCGGGGCCCGUGAGCGGAUCUAGCUACUACUUCCCCUAGGUUCUCCUCGGGCUUCAGUCCCUAAGAGUCUGGACUCCGGACUGCCGCACAGAAUCCUUCUUGCCCGGAGCGGUAUUAUUGAGGUCUUUGCGUUCUGCCCCGCCCUGUCCCGCCGGCUUGGGUGCUUGGUUUCUAACCCGAGUAUACUCGGAGUCUCUGGUCCUGCGCGCCCCCCUCCUCCCGGGAGAGCCCCGUAUCUGGCUGCGGGUCAAUUUAUGACUCAAACAUGAGAUAAGCCCUAGGCAGACGGUGACGCUGACUUCCCCGUGGGGGCGCGGGGAGAGAAGGAUGAGGCAGACGUACCCCCUCCCUGGCCUGGCCCUGUCCGGGGCCGCGUCGGGGUGUGGAGGGGCGACUCCCUUCCUCCGGGAGCCCCGACUCGCUCUCUCCCAGCGCGCCUCCCCUGCGCCCGUAAAGCUCGGCCCUGCCGGAGCCCCGGGACCCGUCUGUUUUAUUUCACUUAAAGCGAUCUGCAAAGUCAAGGCCGGGUGAGGUGCGGCGCGGGAGAGGAGAGGAUAUGAACGGACGUGGAACGAAGUUCUGUCUGCCAACUCCCUCCGUCUGAUUCUUGGAAUCCGGUGGCAUCUUAAAGGACGGAAUUGAGGGCAAGGAGAAGAUUAUUAAUCCCCGAAGCCCGCUCUGUCUAUAUAUAACUGCUCAGUGGUUACAGUUGGCGAUCGCAGGGUGGGGGUUGGGGGUGUAGACCGUGGGCCAUGGAACACGUGGCAUCUCUCCAGGGCAUAAAAAUCAAUCUAGCUGGUGGCUCCUAUGGAGUUUGUAAAUUGCGCAGAGCUGGCUGGGGGAAGCCAGUGAGCUGUCCAUGGUGGUUAAGGCUCGUUGAUGUGCGUCCUCGGGCUGUCCUGGUGAGGCACAGACCCCCCUACCCCAGGGGCCGCAACGCCCCAGAGCCCCAGCCUGCCAGCGAUCCAGCCGGUGUGCGCCCGACACGAGGCUGGACGUGUGUUUGCACAACUCCAGGACGCGCUCUUGCACAGAGGCCGAAUUCCAGAGAUAGACGGAAAAAUCUCCCGAUUCCAAAUUGUGGGUUUCCUUUUAGUUCCUUCCUGAACGUGUCUUUCCCCACUCAGGCAACGUUUCACAUGCUUUAAGAAACGUCCAUCCAUUUUAGUAGCCUCUCUCCUUUUCCUUUGCUAAGGUUCUGUUCUCUAAAGAGAGAGAAGCAAGUUGAUGAUCUUGUUAGGCUUCUGUUUGUUAAAAGCAUCCACCAGCAUUUGCACCAUGUGGGAUGUCCCCAACACCUGCUUUCAUUGAGUGGGGAAACUGCUGCCAGGAGAUUGUCCGGUAUCUCAGGAAAAUUGGACAGUUUCUUCUCUAGGAGUGGUGAAGCCCUUUGUAGCAUAUUGUUCAGUGGGGCGACUUCAUUAAUCACCAUUGUCCUGAGCAGUGUGUCUGAUCGCCACUCCUAGCAAAGGAGAAAACAAAUGCUAUGGGAGUUUCCUUGUAGGUACAGUUUUGCCCAGUUCUUGUGACAUAUUCUUAUGAAAAAACAUUUACAAAGGUAAGCUUCUAUACAUGUUUAAGGCAAUUAAAUUAUCUCCACAUUUUACUUUUUUGUCUCUUAAUUUAUCCUGGCAAUUUUCUCCUUACUUAACUUGGAUAGAGAUCUCAUCUUCAACUGAAUAACGAAUUACCUCAAAUACUACAAAAGACUGCAAAAUAUUAUAAACAUUUAUAACUCAUUUGUAUUACACACCUUUAUUUAUGGGAAUAUAUUUAAUAAACAUCCAACACAUAAGAGAAUCUUUUACUUAUUUCUGUACAAGAUAUCAGAUUGCUGCUUUUACCCUUCCUUCUAAUUGUGGUGUGGCAAAUUAACAAAAGGGUGUGUGUGGGCGUACUUAUAAAUAACUUUUAGAAUAUUUGACAUUCAAUAGAAAAUAUUAGGAUUCAAUAAUUUUUAAUAGCUUUUUUCCUCUCUCAGCUUCUGGGUCUAAGUAUAAACAUUGUCCGUGGGGAAAAUGAAAUAUUUCUAUAAAUUCUUCUAAAUGUUUUCCCAAGUCAAUAAAAUCGAUAUAAUGUAUUUUACUUUCCUUCUCUCUAUUUACAAAAAUUAAGGAAAUAAGAUUUGAAUGUGUACCCAGGUUUUGAAAAGCAAGAAAUAAACCAUCA